AGGUGUGUUGUUGUGGCUGCUUUGUGUGGUCAGAGGUGAUGAGGGAAGAUUUGGGGACUAGCUGCUGGUGAGUCUUCACUGCUGAAGGUAAAUUUGGGGCUCUGAUUGCUGAAGGUAUUGCUGGAACAAGUGCAGAUCCAAUCCUCUGUAAGUUUUCACUGAUUUCACUAAUUAAUAGCCCAGUGAUCAGAAAAUACUCUGAAGAAGCCACUGAAAAUGUGUCACCAGAAAGAGUGAGCCUUUCUCUAAAGCUUUUACUAGCUUUUCUCUCUGCAGUGAGUAUACCCAGAGGUAUUCAGCUCCUGAUUUUUUUUUUCCCCGAAGAAACUAUUGGCAGGGUUGUGGCUGCUGUUGUAGUCUCCCUUCUAUGGCCUCUGCACCUUGUCAUUCUUCCCAGUGUCUCCUGUUCUUUUGUUUUAUUUUCCCAUGCUAUGUGCCUCAUGAAUAGAGGGUGAUGUUAUUCAUCUUCUAUGAGCUAGAGGCAAGUGGGCCUGCCAUCAGCAGAUACUGUGUGCAUCUCCAAUAGUUCUCGUGUCAGCUGUUCGAAGCCAUGCAGACUCAGUCCAUGUGAGUGUGUUCUGCCACUGGUGGCAGCAGCAAGGACAGCUCUCUGAGCUUCUUUUCGUUCUCUCCUGCCAGUGAACUCCUGGCUAUUGAAGACCAGUGUUUGUCACCACUGAAAGGAAAAAGCAUGCAGCUUUAUAUGUGUACAUCUGUAGUUUGUCAUCUCCUGAAUCAGUUUUAGAACUAUUAACAGCUGUUUUGACAUGGGAAUCCUUUUUGACUGUUUUGACUUUAGCUGAUGACUUCUUGAAACAAUAGAUCCUAAAAUAUAAUGACAUAUUUGGUCACUCUUAGACUACUAAAAUCAUCAGGAAAAUGUCAAGAUGCACUCUGAUUAGUUAAACUUAAUGACUGAGAAUAUUUCAACAGAAAGUUGCUAUUUGAGAAGGGAAUGGGAAAUGUGCUUAAGAUUUUCAUUAUCUUUGACAUCAGAUGAGAGCUUUAAUGCUCAAGAGUCAGGACGUGGAAAAAGAUCAAGUAAUGCUUGUCAUUGUCUUGACAAAUAUCCCAAUAUACCCUGCCAAACAUUUCUCCUCUCUUUGUCUGGGGAUGUGAAGACAAAUACAGAAUAUUUGUGCUGUUGAAAAUAACUGGUGAAAUGCAAUAGAUUUGUACAGCUGAGCUGCACAAAUGGCUUGGCAAUUCUAUCCCUUCCAACUAUGCAGAAAAAAUAUGGUUCAGAAACAUAUUGGGGAAAAUUAGUCAAAUCUACAUAAAGAAUUUGAAAAAAUGGAAUUAUAAACUACAGACUUCUUCUGAGUCCUGACUUGUUGAUGCUCAGAAAGUUCAGUUCUCUGUGGUAGUGUAUUUUUACCUUCGCAUGUGAGAAGUAAUAUACCUUCUUGGCACUCCUUUUUCCUUUAAAUAGCAAAAAAAAAAAUCUCUACAGUACUGUCUACAAAUGUCAGUGAAAGAACUGACUUAAAUGGUGCUGGAUGUCACCUUUAUGCUUUGUGUGUUGGAGGAGGAAGAUGCUUUGUGACUACUGUGGUUUACAGUUCACAGAAUGAGAAUAUGAAAAAGCAGUUUCAGGCUUUCAUCAAAACAACUGUAAUGAUGGGCUCAAAACACCAUAACAUUUAAUGUAGAAAUAAUGUUCUCUAUCAGCAAAAAAAAAAUGCAAAAAACCACUGCUUGUAUGUAAACUGCCAUAGUAUUGUGUAGCUUAAUUUAUAGUUCUGGAUGCUGAUCAAAUGUCUGUGGCCAGACAAGUGUAUGAAAAACUGGAAAAUGGCUGAAAAGUUUUCAUAAAACUGAGGAGUAACUUGAAAAACAUUUCAUAAGUGAAUAAUGGAAUGAAUUGUUUUGACUUCAGGAUCAACCUUUUUAUUCAUACAGUAUGAAAAGAAUAAUGACUCUUUCCCUGUGCUUGCAAUAAGCCUCACAUUCAUUCAAAUAAAGAAUCAU
Molecule: long non-coding RNA, 1971 nt
Organism: Gallus gallus (chicken)
Lineage: Eukaryota; Metazoa; Chordata; Aves; Galliformes; Phasianidae
Source: Ensembl